This is a long non-coding RNA of Passer montanus (Eurasian tree sparrow), 579 nucleotides long. RefSeq lists it as uncharacterized. Lineage: Eukaryota; Metazoa; Chordata; Aves; Passeriformes; Passeridae. The transcript has 4 exons. The record is from RefSeq and is a predicted model, not a curated record.
AUGGACCAAAAUGGCAAAAUGGAGCCGGUAGGAAAGGUGGAAGGAAAGCAGAAGGAGAUCAAGAUCUUACUUGGAACUUUUCAACCUGAUGAGUCCCUGUCUAAUUUUAUUUUAGAAUCAGGACUGUAGAGCUCUAGACAGCUCUGUCUUACAUCUACUUUUCUGAGGCCUGCCCCAUGCUCUCUUGCCUUGGCUCAUUGCUGAUCCGAAUCAGCUCCACUCAAGCUCUCCUGCUGUGCUUGGAGGAUCUCUGUCCUGGCAGGCUGCUGCCAUGGAUCAGGCACAUUCAGGGACUUUCCUCAGGAUUAGAAAGGUGCAAAAUCUGUUCAUGCCUCUCCCUGUGAGGAAGCCCAUCAGCAAGCAAGAUUUGGACACAAGCCAGCUUGCUAUCAGCCAUGGGAAUUUACAAGCUUUCCAACAAGACUGAAGAAAUCCAGGAAACCACAAAGACAGAUCCACUUGAAACAACCAUUUCAUGCUCACAUGUUUUCAAGGCUCAACUGUCCAGUCCAUCUUCCUGGAAUGGAUACAUCUUUACUCCAGUUCAGCUGAUCCUCUCACAUGGGAAAGGUGUGUAUG